This 657-nucleotide long non-coding RNA is filed under the name Vulpes vulpes (red fox). RNAcentral describes it as "lncRNA (ENSVVUG00000021242.1)". Lineage: Eukaryota; Metazoa; Chordata; Mammalia; Carnivora; Canidae. The record is from RNAcentral.
AAAUUUGAGGUCUAAAUUGGUGUGAUAUUUUAACCAGAGGGAGAAAUUCAACUGACAAGACUUAUGCAAAAGACAAGUAACAGAAGUGUUUAGGUGGAGAAGUAUAACCUGAAGAGAAGAUUCUUACUCCUUUUGUUAAAAAAAAGGACACAACUGACUACAUGCCUCCAGAGAAAACUCCUGAUUCUCCUAAAAGAAAAUAAUUUUUCUAUAGAGAGAUGGGGCAUUUGGCAAGACUCCCAGAAUACUCACCCCACUACCUGGAGAAGAAGAAUAAGAGUCUGGGCUGUACAGCCUUCAUUGAAUUUAAAGAUAUGUCUGCCACCUAAUGAUGAGCUGGGGAACAUAAUCAUCUCUGUUAUCUCUCUAUCUCCAGUGGUUUCCACAGUGCUUGUCACAUGGUAGGUGCUUGGUAAUUGCAUUUGGUGACAAUGAUACAAAAACAAUUAAGACAUAACUGUUGUCCUCAAAGAGUGAGUAGAAAUAAUUAAUGCAAUCAGAUAGUGUCUGUAACAGAUACAUGUGGAAAGUUCUAUGGACAUAUAGGAAGAGUGAUUAAAUCUCAAUGGGACUUUGCCCAUGUAAAGAGAAAUCAGAGGUAUCUCCAGAUAAAUAUAUAUCUUUUAAACAAAUUUUUGCAGUUUGUGUAGAAAUUAG